Molecule: ribosomal RNA, 497 nt
Filed under: uncultured bacterium
Lineage: Bacteria
Description: partial 16S ribosomal RNA
Rfam family: Bacterial small subunit ribosomal RNA
Source: RNAcentral
GAUGAACGCUGGCGGCGUGCCUAAUACAUGCAAGUCGAGCGAACAGAUGAGGAGCUUGCUCCUCUGACGUUAGCGGCGGACGGGUGAGUAACACGUGGAUAACCUACCUAUAAGACUGGGAUAACUUCGGGAAACCGGAGCUAAUACCGGAUAAUAUAUUGAACCGCAUGGUUCAAUAGUGAAAGACGGUUUUGCUGUCACUUAUAGAUGGAUCCGCGCCGCAUUAGCUAGUUGGUAAGGUAACGGCUUACCAAGGCAACGAUGCGUAGCCGACCUGAGAGGGUGAUAGGCCACACUGGAACUGAGACACGGUCCAGACUCCUACGGGAGGCAGCAGUAGGGAAUCUUCCGCAAUGGGCGAAAGCCUGACGGAGCAACGCCGCGUGAGUGAUGAAGGUCUUCGGAUCGUAAACCUCUGUUAUUAGGGAAGAACAAAUGUGUAAGUAACUAUGCACGUCUUGACGGUACCUAAUCAGAAAGCCACGGCUAACUACGUG